RNAcentral lists this non-coding RNA (21 nucleotides) under Caenorhabditis elegans. The record is from RNAcentral. Lineage: Eukaryota; Metazoa; Nematoda; Chromadorea; Rhabditida; Rhabditidae.
UAUGUAGUAACGGUUGCUGUU